GUCUCAACGACAAAAACGUUGAGUUUCUCUCCAACAGUGUUGAUGAGAAUAAGACCCUUCCAUUCGUUCUCAAAUGAGACUGUCGUAGAGAAUUAAUAAAAAACUCUUAACUCCGAAGACUCUAUAUUUUAUGGUUAAAAAAAAGAAACGAAACGAGAAAUGUAGCUGAAGAUUCCAGCCAUUUUGUUUUGACGAGAGCUAGUCCAGAUCUAGAUCUCUAGAUCCUCUAGAUCUAGAUCUACUUGAUCAACGAUUUACACUGAUGUAUAACCUACGUAAAUCUGCAAGAUCUAGAUUUAAAUUUAGAUCUAGAAUCUAGAAAUCUACAUUAUUGACUAGAGAGAAAAGUUAAAAGUAUGCCUAGUGCCUCGUUCACCCAAAAAGGGAAGAUUUCAUUUUUACCAGUAAUAAGACUACAGCAUACUAAAUGACACAAGAUGUUUAUUCUCUAUUACCUCUUACAUUUGACAUAAAAGCAGGAAAAGGUUUAACAGUCUAUGCCUACAACAUGGAUCUCCAGGACUAAAACUGAAAAAAUUUGCAAUCAGUAUAUCACAAGUGUUACAAUACAAUCAUCUAAUCUGCUUCAGUGGCCAGAACUGGGUGAAUCCUCUCAAACUUGAAACAGGAACUAGGCAUACCUAAUGAGCGUCAAGCUGAUACAGUAGAUGUACAGAAGAGUUUAUACACAAGGAAGUGAAAAGUGAUGUGAAAGGCAACUAAUACUUCCAUCUACCAUAGUUAAACAAGAAUCUGCAAAUGGCGUUAAUUGCAAUAAUCCUGAUAUAUUCAUUUUUGGCUUUAUAUGCAUAAAUAAAUUAUUUA
Molecule: long non-coding RNA, 825 nt
Organism: Physella acuta
Lineage: Eukaryota; Metazoa; Mollusca; Gastropoda; Physidae
Source: RefSeq, a predicted model, not a curated record